Molecule: non-coding RNA, 1491 nt
Organism: Arachis ipaensis
Lineage: Eukaryota; Viridiplantae; Streptophyta; Magnoliopsida; Fabales; Fabaceae
Source: RefSeq, a predicted model, not a curated record
GAGCUUAGGUAUUGCCGUUGGGUUAGAGAGAGAGAGAGAGAGAGAGAGUUUGGGAGUCGUCUAUAAUAUGAGCGAAUAGGAAGAUGUGCGUCUAAAGUCCGAAGCAUUUGUCAUAACUUGUUGAAGAGAGUACACAAGUUCGGUCAAUUUUGCUGCACCUUGGCCAGGCCUGCACCUUCCUUCCUCCAUCUACAUCUUCUUUUUAUUCUUCUCUCUCUCUCUCUCUCUUUAUUCCCUCUUAAACCUUCUCUAGUUCCACCUCGUUUUCCUAGUGAAUAUUCACACGUUGUAGAUACCACACAACAACACAACACAACACAACACAACACAUACUUUCUUCUAUUUUCUUUGUCUUUCUCAAAGCCAAUUCAAAUUAAUAAGGUUGAGAGCCAGGAUUAUUGGAAACCAAAUCAAAGAUGGGUUUUUUCUCAAAGGAAGAGAAAUCAAAGAGGGUAUUGAGGGGAGUCAAGACGGUGUUCUUCUUGAUCACCAUGGUUAUGUCUCUUCUUCUCUUCUCUGCCCCGGUUCUACUUGUCAUAGCCGAUGCACUUGUUCCUUCUGCUCUGCUUUCAACUCUCUCCUCCUCUUCUUCUUCUUCUUCUUCCCUCUCCAUGGAAACACUCUCUUCCCAUUUCCGCAACUACGAUUUCAGAUACUCACUUCUUGACAUACCCCUCGUCUCCAUCAUAAGGUCCUUCAUCAUCUUCUGUGUUUAUAGUUUGUGUGAUGGGCCAAGGCUAUCAAGGGGACCGUAUUUGGGGAUAACAACGAUGUGCUGCGUGGUGUCUCUGAUGUUUGUGUCGCUGAAAGCGGUUUACAUGUUAAGCAUGGUUGAUGAGAGUAGUGGGUAUGUUAGAGCCUCUGAAAUCGCGCUGUUCGUGUGUUCCUCUGCGUUGGCUGUGGGCCAUGUUAUCGUGGCCUACCGAACAAGUUGCAGAGAAAGGAGGAAGCUUUUGCUCUACAAAAUUGACAUUGAGGCUAUUUCAGCUUGCAAAAAUGGGUAUCCGAGGUAUCCCAAGAUUCUUCAAGGGGAAAGAAUCAAAUGAAUCCCCACCAUUCAUGGCACUAACAAUAACAAAUUAAAUUAGAGGGAACCAAUAUUAUUAUUAUCAUCAUCAGUGUAAUAUAUAUAUAUAUAUAUAUAUUUCAGCUAACAGCUUCAUCAGCUAUUCAUACUAAGAUGCGUCAAAGGAUGCUAAGGUUUAUCCGAAGGAUUUGCCUUACCUUGAUGCCUAACACUCAUUAGAUUUUACUUUUUACAUUUACGGCUACCAUGAUGCAAAAAGUUGUUGCAUGGUGUUUUUAAGUAUGUAUAAGUGCAAAUAAUAGAUCUUCAUCUUUCUGGGGUUUAUGUAAUAUCUUUUUUCUUUCUUUUUGCUCUUUGGUGUUUCCCAGCCCUUUUAUGUUUGGUUUAUACCUCUUGUAUAUAUAAAAGUGAAUGGAAUGUCAGUAAUGCUAUUACUUAGUGAAAUUACUACUCAACUUAUGACA